CGGGAAUAUUGCGCAAUGGGCGAAAGCCUGACGCAGCGACACCGCGUGUGGGAUGACGCUCUUCGGAGUGUAAACCACUGUGGCGAGGGAAUAAUUAAUGAAGGUACCUCGCUAGAAAGCACCAGCUACCUACGUGCCAGAAGCUUCGGUAAUACGUAGGGUGCGAGCGUUAUCCGGAUUUACUGGGCGUAAAGGGUCCGUCGGCGUCUGUACAAGUUUUUUGUUUAAGCCUGAGGCUCAACUUCAGAAAAGCAAAAAAUACUGUACGGAUAGAGUUUGUUCGAGGAAGUUGGAAUUCUUGGUGGAGGGGUGAAAUCCGUAGAUAUCAAGAGGAACACCGCGCGCGAAGGCAGGCUUCUAGAACAACACUGACGCUCAUGGACGAAAGCUUGGGUAGCAAAGC
This 403-nucleotide ribosomal RNA is filed under the name uncultured bacterium. Its description in RNAcentral is "bacterial SSU rRNA". It matches the Rfam family "Bacterial small subunit ribosomal RNA", at positions 356 to 774 of the family's 1533-position model. The record is from RNAcentral.